Molecule: long non-coding RNA, 6931 nt
Organism: Mesocricetus auratus (golden hamster)
Lineage: Eukaryota; Metazoa; Chordata; Mammalia; Rodentia; Cricetidae
Exons: 4
Source: RefSeq, a predicted model, not a curated record
UCAGGGAGAUUAAGGGAUUACUAAAUCUCUUCUUUUUAUUUAAUUAUAUUUUAAACUGUAAUCCCUCAUACAAAUUAUGCAGAUCCCUUUGGAAUAGGUUUAGAAAGGAAACUGAGAGGUCAGGACUCUAUUUGACAGGUUGAGUUAAUCUCCAGGUUUUUAUGUAAAUUGAGAUUAAGCUAAAUUAUUUUCACCAUACCUUAAAAUAACUAAUUUCCUCACCAAAAAGAGUACGGAUUUAAGCUAGCAGUCUUUUGGUUCUGAGUCUGUGAUGCCUUUGAUUUGAACAUACGGAGACUGUACUUAACACCUGUGCCGAAAUUCUUGCAAACACGGAGGGAUUUGAGACCAAAUGUCAGCCCCAAGUUUGAUAUUUAUUGGCUUUAGUUACUCUUUCUCAUAACCUUCUCUCAACCUUCAAGCACUCUGAGACUAUUAUGUUUGUGCAAGUGUCAGUGAAAAUGCCAUUACAUGGUGAUAGAAGGAUUUGAGCAAUUGUAGUAACUUGUUCCAGUUCUAGAAUUUUAUGCUUUCCUUUGUCACGUGUUCUAGACCACUGAUUCCUAUCCUUAAUAUAUUAUAUUGAUUCUUUUGUUUUCAUCUUUAUUCUUUCAUUAUCUUAUGUGAAUUUAGGGUCAUUUUAUGAAAGCAUUUUCUUAGGUGACAGCACAUUUAACUUUUAGCAUAGCAAUACUUUUGUGGUAUCCUCAUUUCACUGCACAUAUUAGCAUUCGUGCAGUUAAAUUCUCUUCUAGUAUUUCCUGAGACCACACUUUAGUAGUAGAAACAGAACAAUGUGAAAUGACUAAUACAUGAAUAUUGAGGCAUUUUACAUUAGGUUGCCUAAGGUAAGACAUUUCUUAGCAUAAUAAUACACUGAAGAAAUGUAUGUCUCAUCUUAUUCCACAGACUUGAAAUUGCUACUAUAUACAGGUUUGGAAAUAAUGAUAUAGUUGGUGAAGGGGAUGUGGAAUAGAAUUAACAGCAUCAAGGACUGAAAUAGAAUACACUGAUUUCAUUUUUGUGAGAUGUAAAAAGGGAAUAUUUAUACCAAAGGAGUAUGUAUAGAUACAUUCUAAUUCAUUUUUGGUCCUUUUUCAUAAUUGUGGAUCAGGACUGAUAAGCAUACUAGGCAGUGUCCAAGGUCAUUUAGCUGUGAGACACUAAAGGAACUAAGGGAAGAGAUCAGGUAGGUGUUGAAUCUAAUAUUGUAGCCCAGCGCACAAAUGCUUGUCUGAACUUGUUCCCUACAGGAAUUCAAUAAACCUCUUACUGGUUGAAAUAUGGAACCACAAUAUUCUCAUCUCUAAUGUUGGAAUAAAAAAGCCUACCCAUAGGAUGGGGGAAAUGGAUGAUUUACUUAAAAUAUGUGAAAGAGUUUAAUGAAAAGGCAAAUAAAAGUUUUUAUGGAUUUAGAAUUCUAGUUCUAGACUAGAGCUUACUCGCUUAUGGUUUCAAAACAGGCUUAAAACGAGAGAAAGUGUCUACAUGUGUUACUCAAUAUGCGACACCACGAGGUGACUCUUGUGAAUGUCUUGGAAGCUAUGGGAAAGAAGAGGGUCAUGCAGCAAAGCUGACUCUGGGGAGCACGCUGUGGUGGGACAGGAAGACUGAACGCAGGCACGCUGCCACCCAUCGCCUGGUACAGGAGUCAGAAUGCAUUGCCCCUUUGCUCGAUUGCAACAUCUGUUUUCCACUUGAACUUCUUUUGAAAGCAAGCCACACAUCAUCCCAGUGAAGUUAUGAGUUCACUGGUCGGCUAGCAGUGCUGCUGCUGUAUCUCAUUGCCAGCAUAUGGUCUGUGAAUAAGUAUGCCUCAAGGGUCCAAUCUGAUUGAAGGUCCUGUAAAAUUGGAUGUUCUUCCUCUGACCACCACUGAUGUUCCAACUUCCUUGCCAGAAACAGAACUAACAAAAUCAGGGGCUGGUGGCGGGCUCCUCCAGUAAACAGGGAAUCUCCCCAAAUGUUUAGGAUAAUGGCUGUUCCCCUUCCUUAUACUGGAAUUUAUGAUGGAGAAGAACAUGUGCUGUACUACACCCUGAAUUUCAUGGACACAUGCAGUCCCAGCACCGGAGUUACAAUUCAGACUUUUGGUUGUCUUCAUAUGCUUUGGAAACAGUGAAGCCGGAGGAGGUGGAACAGAGAAUGGAAAGGAGAAAGGAAGAAAAUACUUGGCUUAUAAUCUUCUAGAGAGAGAUGUCACUUCAGGCUCUUGAGAACACAAAGAAUGGUUUUCACGAUGACACCUAUUGAGUGAGAGGCAUCAGCACUCCACAGUGAGCAGCAGUGGUAUUGGUCAACACCCAAGGUGAUCCUCAGACAACUCUGCAGCAAAAAUCAUGUAGCUGUUGACUAAACCAGUAGGUGGCGCUGCUACUCCAUGUGUUACCUCUGAGGACCCCGCGUGAGUAAGAAGUUGCAUUUCCAAUGUAAUGGCGAAGUAUUUUAAAGAUGCGGGCGUACGGGUCUGCUACAAAGAGUAGCCCCCUUUUGUGUCAGUCAGAAGCAAGUGUCUCUUCGAAGUGGCUUAGCUCAUUUGACCUUGGAAACCGAGGAUUUAGCUCUACCAAAGAGAAUGAAAAUCAGAGGGAGAUUUGGAAGGACCAGAGCCUUCGAUUCCCUCAUAGAGGAACAGAGAAAUAAGGUUAGUGGUCUGGAGACAGCAAACAAGAAACAGCAUAGCUAGAGAUAUUAGCCCCCGAGAGCCCCGAGGUUAAUGUGGAUGAUAAGAGCCGCAAACCCUACUACAUACUAAUUUGGUUUGUUAACUUAUUACAUCCUUGAGAGGAUAUUUUUCCCCCCUUGGACUAGAUGAAGAAUUCCCCUGAGCAGCAGAGGUUUUUGUACCAGGAGAUUAAGUAGCAUAGAAAAUUACAGCCCUGCAUUUGUGCUGUUGGAGUUAAGGCAAUGUCAGCAUUCCUAUUUUAAGCCAUUAUUUUCAAGGAUGUGAGCUUGCCUGGGACUUACGGAUUCAGACCGGGGAUCACACAUGCACACCCAGUGGUGUAGUAGGUCGGGGCAUCACUGUACCAAGACCUCUGCAGAAGGGACGGGGCACUGGAGUUGGCUUUUAUUAUUAUUCCAAAAAGACAACGGACAUUUAAAAAUCUACUGCCCAAAUGUGAAAUGAUUUUUUCUUUCUUUUAAAAAUGCUGCAAGAUUUGUAGCACAAAGACUUAAUGCCACGCAGGACAACCAAGUUGACAAAAUGCACUUUUAUCAGCUUUUAUUGAUUGCUCAGGCCAAUGGUCUGGGAAUCAAGACCCGUAAGCCGUAGGUCUCCAUGGAGCUAUAAUGGCCCCAAAGGGUAUCUGCAUAAUAAAUACAUAAUUUCAACACUGGCUAGCAGACAGACAUCAACAGCACCCUGAAAGGCCAUCUGCCUGAGGCAUAUGAUAAUGUGGCCAGAAUGCCUGGCACACAGAACUUCUAUCUUCUAAAUGUGCUCCUUGCAGUCAUAUGGCAGGGAGGAAAGGUCGUGAACAUGUGUGGAAGUUCCCGUAUAGCCCAGACCCUCUAUGGUCUUCUCCCCACAGCGCCUCUUACAGGAACCUAUGUGUGACAGCAAUUAUUGAUCGUACUUGAGAGAUGAAAAACAGGGUCUUCAUCACAUGAAGCCUUCUUCUUGGGCACUAGGUUGGUAAGUGCCUACCUAAUACAAGAGUUUAGCCUUGUUCAGAGGGAAGCCCACGACAGUUCCACUUGAACGGGCAUCUCUUCCUACAAAGUGACUUCAUUCAUUUCCAGCACCUAUUUGUGUCUGACCCUGCUUCAAGGUCGCCUCAUCUAUAGAGAGAGGGCCGCACCUGUCUUUCAGGGUUGCAGAAAUGACUCAGUGUGGAGGUUAAUACAGAGAGGGUACACCAGGAUGCUGAGGCCGUUACCGCUUUGAUGUUUGUCACAGAAUGGGAAACAGAGCCACAGUGGCAAUGAACAACCACACCUUCCGGUGGUUCAGGCACGUGCGCCACAGAUGCGCUGCUCUCCUUAGACGCAUGAGGUGUAAGAGUGGAGUGCAUACAUUGAUUUUCUAGCCAAUAAGCAGACAGAGACCAAGAAAGAAAACAGGCGUGGAAAAUUGUGUGUCGAUACUUAGAGAAACAAGGUGAUUGCAGUAAUUGAGCGGAGCCAAAAGAAGUCACACAUGUAAUUAUAAGCUCUUCUUGGCGGUAUCCGUGAAGAUCUUCACUUCCUGGUUUUGAAAUGUCCUGGGUGGGAGUUGGUAGACAAGAACCUUCCUCUCAGAUCAACAGGAUUCAUGUUAGGAAAUUAUCGUACAUGCAUAGAAGUCCCUCUAAGGAACAAAAAGUGGACUAAAAGUUUUAACAAGAAGCACAUUUGUAGUAAUGGCCCGGCCUUUCACAAGGCCCAGUGGCUUCUUGUGGGUGUCAUGGUACCUAAAGGUCCCUUGCUCUUUCGUGUCACGAAGAAGGGGAAAGGAAGGCAUCAGUCUGAAAGGAGAAAACCUUUGCCUGGGAAAAUGAGAGGCAGAGGGCAGGAGGCGGUGGGGAGGAAGGGUGAAAUACAGAGAGUGAAUUUGAGAAUGAGUCAGAGAAAGAAUUUAAAUAUGUGCACCACACACACACACACACACACACACACACACACACACACACACACACACCUGCCCUAACCCAUGCGCCCCAGAAGGCUUAGAGAGAGGGAUCCCUGAGGAACUGCUUUGUGCUUGAGGAGAGCCCAAGUGCUCCUGCACUCUUAGUGGAAAGGAUGGGACUGAUUUGGGCAUGGCAUUUUUCCAUAUUCGGCAGGAGGGGAAUGACAGUCUGGUCACCUAGGCAGCCAGAGGUAGAGCAAGCUUUGCACGGGCCCCCAAACCUUGUUUUCACUGUGCUGCAGAGUUCAAUAGCUGCAUCACUGUCCGAGGUUAGUUGUGACAGUAAAACUAGACAAGAAUGUAUAUGUAAAACCCUUUCAACACAGACUUGUAGAUAAUGCAUGCUUGGAACUGUUAGUUUAUCUUUACCCACUCAUUAAGCAGUAAGAACGGAUGCAGACUAAUGCCUCCCAGUUAAUUACCAAGCCAGACUUCAGACUUUUGUUCUUAGGGAGACGAAGCAUUCUUUUUCUUUAAUAGGAGAAAAACUUUAAUUUUAUGAAAUAGCCUCUAAGAGACCCUAAGAUGCUGCUGAGAAUUGAGUAGUUCUCAGUUUCAUUACAAAUGAAAACAAUAGGAACUGCUGGCCGAGGCAGGGUAAUCAAUUACAGGUGACUGUCAGGAGUGGUAUUUACUGGGAAGCAAUCUGGAAGCACAGCAAUAUUGAAACCCAGUGUGAAUUGCAUUGCUCCUUAAUGCCUCUGGCCCUCUGGAUCCACACAGAUGUGUGCAGAUGUGGGUAUGGGCUUCUUUAAGCGACUCUAUUCUACCUCCCGAGGGAUUUCGACUCAUCUCCAUCCGGUGCAGGUUGUCGCCAGUACAGUGUGUGUCUUAGGAGCGGGUGGCAGACAGCGAGGCUGGGGAUAGGGAGGCAACCCCUGUUGAUGCACAGGGGACACACUGCAGCUAAGUGGAACUGUGCAAAUUAACACCAUCUGGGUUAAUAAGGCCGGUGUUGACAGAGUUUAGAAUUGCUUCCUCAAUUAAAGAGCCGAGGGAAAUCUAUAUGUUUGGGUCUCAAUGAGGACACGCCAAAUAGUGAUAAAGAGUCUUUGUUUUGCUAAAAAUAAAGAACCCAGGGCUUCACUUCACACAUUUUAAAAGGAAGGGGAUGGUGUGAAAUAACUGGAACCGUGGACCUCACUGGGUCUUCAUAGCAGCAGGCUGUUUGCGGAAUAGCCAGGCCACUGUUGCUUUGGUAGACUUACACAAGCCUUGGCACACUCUUCUCCUAGGAGGGAAGACACUCGUUUCCUUACCCCCAGUGCUCUGUGCCUGCCCUGUGUUCAUUUUCUGUUCUAUGAUCACUAUUGUUACAUUUUACAGAGCUGAAUGUCGAGGCACAGAACAAAAGAUCAAGAUCCGCAUUGUCAUGGCCAGUGAGUGGUGGCUUAUAGAAGGGUGUGCGUCUGUGCUCACCCCCAGGCAUGCAGGGCUCUAGAUUUUAAAGUUGGGCUCAGUGGCUUUCCACUGACUAGGUACCAUCACGACAGCAGUAGAGCAUGGUGUUCAGCACGAAUUACAGGCAUUUCAUCUCACAAACCUGGCUAGGACUAGCCUAGUCUUCUUUCUCCUUACUGCUAAUUCUCUGACAGAAAAGUCACUUGAUUUUAUUUGAUUAAGUUUCAGAAAUAAAUAUCAACAUUUACUUCACCUGGAAUGUUCUUUCUUUGCAUUCGAGGUGAAGUCCUAGUCCUCCUUGGAGUCAUCUUCCUGAGGUGACUCUCAUCUGAGAGCAUCUUCAGUAUCUGUGACAUGUCCUUAGAGGAGGCCUUAGACUCCUGGCAGCCUUUUGAAAUUGGCUGUUCACAUCUUUUUUGUGAAGAGGAAGGUUCUGGAAUUGCUUCACUUGAUGGGACACAUCACUUCCUUCUUCAUCUGCCUUGUCUUUGUUUUCUCUACUUCUGCAUCCACGAAUCAGGAGCUGGAGUGUACUCAGGUGUCUAGGGCUUUACAGACUCUCAGGAUCUGUGUGUAAAUUUGACGAGUGUUGCUUCCACAUGUGUCUGAAAACAAGGCCUACGACUUAAAUCAGAUUCUCAAAGAGGUCGUAUGUCUCCUGGAGAAGUUAGGUUACAUGGCACUGUGGUGGUCUGAAAGAAAAUGGCCCCCAAAGGGAGUGGCAGUCCUAGGAGGUGUGGCCUUGUUGGAAGAAGUGUGUCACUGUGGGGGUGAGCUUUGAGCUCGGUGUGACAGCCUACUUCCUGCUGCCUCUGAGUUGAGAUGCAGGACUCUUAGCUGUAGCACCACAUCUGCCUGCACGCCGCCAUGCUCCCCGUCCUGAUGAUAAUGGACUGAACCUCUGAAACCGUAAGG